GGGGCAUUAGUCGCAAUGGGGCGACGUCUGUUUUGCAAGCAGGAGGCGGCGGGUUCGAUUCCCGUAUGCUCCA
Molecule: transfer RNA, 73 nt
Filed under: Blautia sp. BCRC 81119
Lineage: Bacteria; Bacillati; Bacillota; Clostridia; Lachnospirales; Lachnospiraceae
Description: tRNA-Ala
Rfam family: tRNA
About the family: Transfer RNA (tRNA) molecules are approximately 80 nucleotides in length. Their secondary structure includes four short double-helical elements and three loops (D, anti-codon, and T loops).
Source: RNAcentral